RNAcentral lists this long non-coding RNA (11103 nucleotides) under Homo sapiens (human). RNAcentral describes it as "HSALNT0202483". The record is from RNAcentral. Lineage: Eukaryota; Metazoa; Chordata; Mammalia; Primates; Hominidae.
GAAGAAUCACAAAAGAAGUGAAUAUGCCCUGCCCCACCUUAACUGAUGACAUUCCACCACAAAAGAAGUGUAAAUGGCCGGUCCUUGCCUUAAGUGAUGAUAUUACCUUGUGAAAGUCCUUUUCCUGGCUCAUCCUGGCUCAAAAAGCACCCCCACUGAGCACCUUGCGACCCCCCACUCCUGCCUGCCAGAAAACAACCCCCCUUUGACUGUAAUUUUCCUUUACCUACCCAAAUCCUAUAAAAUGGCCCCACCCCUAUCUCCCUUUGCUGACUCUCUUUUCGGACUCAGCCCACCUGCACCCAGGUGAUUAAAAGCUUUAUUGCUCACACAAAGCCUGUUUGGUGGUCUCUUCACAUGGACGUGCAUGAAAUUUGGUGCCGUGACUCAGAUCGGGGGACCUCCCUUGGGAGAUCAAUCCCCUGUCCUCCUGUUGUUUGCUCCAUGAGAAAGAUCCACCUACGACCUCAGGUCCUCAGACUGACCAGCCCAAGGAACAUCUCACCAAUUUUAAAUCAGGUAAGCGGCCUCUUCUUACUCUCUUCUCCAACCUCUCUCACUGUCCCUCAACCAUUUUCUCCUUUCCACUCUUCAAUCUCUCCCUUCUCUUAAUUUCAAUUCCCUUCAUUUUCUGGGAGAGACAAAGGAGACACGUUUUAUCCGUGGACCCAAAACUCCAGCACCGGUCACGGACUAGGAAGGCAGACUUCCCUUGGUGUUUAAUCAUUGCAAGGACACCUCUCUGAUUAUUCAUCCACAUUUCAAAGGUGUCAGACCACGCAGGGAUGCCUGCCGUGGUCCUUCACCCUUAGCGACAAGUCCCGCUUUUCUGGGAAAGGGGCAAGUACCCCAACCCCUUCUCUCCUUGUCUCUACCCCUUCUCUGCUUUUCUGGGGGAGGGGCAAGUACCCCUCAACCCCUUCUCCUUCAACCUUAGUGGCAAGUCCCGCUUUUCUGGGGGAGGGGCAAGUACCCCUCAACCCCUUCUCCUUCACUCUUAGUGGCAAGUCCCACUUUUCUAGAGGAGGGGGCAAGUACCCCAACCUCAUAUCUCUGUGCUCCAAUCCCUUAUUUCCAUGCCGCGACCCCUUAUUUCCGUGCCCCGACCCCUUAUUUCCAUGCCCCGACCCCUUAUUUCCAUGCCCCAUCCCUUAUUUCUAUGCCUCAACCUCUUAUCUCUGUGCCCCAACCCCUUUUCCCACUUUUCUGGAAGGUAAGAACCCCCAAACCCCUUCCCUCCAUUUCUCUACUCUCUCUUUUCUCUAGGCUUGCUUCCUUCACUAUAGGCAACUUUCCACCCUCCAUUCCUCCUUCUACUCCCUUGGCCUGUGUUCUCAAAAACUUAAAACCUCUUCAACUCACAUCUGACCUAAAACCUAAAUGCCUUAUUUUCUUCUGCAAUGCCGCUUGACCCCAGUACAAACUUGACAGUAGUUCCAAAUAGCCAGAAAAUGGCACUUUGAAUUUUUCCAUCCUGCAAGAUCUAAAUAAUUCUUGUCAUAAAAUAGGUAAACGGUCUGAGGUGCCUGACGUCCAGGCAUUCUUUUACACAUUAGUCACUUCCUAGUCUCUGUGCCCAGUGCAACUCGUCCCAAAUCUUCCUUCUUUCCCUCCCACCUGUCCCCUCAGUACCAACCCCAAGCAUUGCUGAGUCUUUCUAAUCUUCCUUUUCUGCAGACCCAUCUGACCUCUCCCUUCCUCCCCAGGCUGCUCCUUGCCAGGCUGAGCUAGGUCCCAAUUCUUCCUCAGCCUCUGCUCCUCCAUGCUAUAAUCUUUUUAUCACCUCCCCUCCUCACACUGGGUCCUGCUUACAGUUUCGUUACGUGACUAGCCCUCCCCAUCCUGCCCAGCAAUUUACUCUUAAAAAAGUGGCUGGAGCUAAAGGCAUAGUCAAGGUUAAUGCUCCUUUUUCUUUAUCCCAAAUCAGAUAGGGUUUAGGCUCUUUUUCAUCAAAUAUAAAAACCCAGCCCAGUUCAUGACUUGUUUGGCAACAACCCUGAGACACUUUACAGCCCUAGACCCUAAAACGUCAAAAGGCCGUCUUAUUCUCAAAAUACAUUUUAUUACCCAAUCUGCUCCCGACAUUAAAUAAAACUCCAAAAAUUAAAUUCCGGCCCUCAAACCCCACAACAGGAUUUAAUUAACCUCGCCUUCAAGGUGUAUAAUAAUAGAAAAUAGUUGCAAUUCCUUGCCUCCACUGUGAGACAAACCCCAGCCACAUCUCCAGCACACAAGAACUUCCAAACGCCUGAACCGCAGCGGCCACGCGUUCCUCCAGAACCUCCUCCCACAGGAGCUUGCUACAUGUGCCGGGAAUCUGGCCACUGGGCCAAGGAAUGCCUGCAGCCCAGGAUUCCUCCUAAGCCGCGUCCCAUCUGUGUGGGACCCCACUGAAAAUCGGACUGUUCAACUCACCUGGCAGCCACUCCCAGAGCCCCUGGAACUCUGGCCCAAGCCUCUCUGACUGACUCCUUCCCAGAUCUUCUCGGCUUAGCGGCUGAAGACUGACACUGCCGGAUCACCUCGGAAGCCCCCUAGAACGUCACUGACGCCGAGCUUCAGGUAACUCUCACAGUGGAAGGUAAGCCCGUCCCCUUCUUAAUCAAUACGGAGGCUACCCACUCCACAUUACCCUCUUUUCAAGGGCCUGUUUCCCUUGCCUCCAUAACUGUUGUGGGUAUUGAUGGCCAAGCUUCUAAACCUCUUAAAACUCCCCAACUCUGGUGCCAACUUAGACAAUACUCUUUUAAGCACUCCUUUGUAGUUAUCCCCACCUGCCCAGUUCCCUGAUUAGGCUGAGACACUUUAACUAAAUUAUCUGCUUCCCUGACUAUUCCUGGACUACAGCUGUAUCUCAUUGCCGCCCUUCUUCCCAAUCCAAAGCCUCCUUUGCGUCCUCCUCUUGUAUUCCCCCACCUUAACCCACAAGUAUAAGAUACCUCUACUCCCUCCUUGGGGACUGAUCAUGCACCCCUUACCAUCUCAUUAAAACCUAAUCACCCUUACCCCACUCAACGCCAAUAUCCCAUCCCGCAGCAUGCUUUAAAAAGAUUAAAGCCUGUUAUCACUCGCCUGCUACAGCAUAGUCUUUUAAAGCCUAUAAACUCUCCUUACAAUUCCCCCAUUUUACCUGUCCUAAAACCAGACAAGCCUUACAAGUUAGUUCAGGACCUGCACAUUAUCAAUCAAAUUGUUUUGCCUAUCCACCCUGUGGUGCCCAACCCGUACACUCUUUUGUCCUGAAUACCUUCCUCCACAACUCACUAUUCCCUGCUUGAUCUUAAAGACGCUUUUUUCACUAUUCCCCUGCACCCCUCGUCCCAGCCUCUCUUUGCUUUCAUUUGGACUGACCUUGACACCAUCAAGCUCAGCAAACUACCUAGGCUGUACUGCCGCAAAGCUUCACAGACAGCCCCCAUUACUUCAAUCAAGCCCAAAUUUCUUCCUCAUCUGUUACCUAUCUCGGCAUAAUUCUCAUAAAAACACACGUGCUCUCCCUGCCAAUCGUGUCUGACUGAUCUCUCAAACCCCAGCACCUCCUACAAAACAACAACUCCUUUCCUUCCUAGGCAUGGUUAGCGCAGUCAGAAUUCUUACACAAGAGCCAGGACCACACCCUGUAGCCUUUCUGUCCAAACAACUUGACCUUACUGUUUUAGCCUAGCCCUCAUGUCUGCAUGCAGUGGCUGCCGCUGCUUUAAUACUUUUAGAGGCCCUCAAAAUCACAAACUAUGCUCAACUCACUCUCUACAGUUCUCAUAACUUCCAAAAUCUAUUUUCUUCCUCAUACCUGACGCAUAUACUUUCUGCUUCCCGGCUCCUUCAGCUGUACACUCUUUGUUGAGUCUCCCACAAUUACUGUUGUUCCUGGCCCAGACUUCAAUCCGGCCUCCCACAUUAUUCCUGAUACCACACCUGACCCCCAUGACUGUAUCUCUCUGAUCCACCUGACAUUCACCCCAUUUCCCCAAAUUUCCUUCUUUCCUGUUCCUCACCCUGAUCACGCUUGAUUUAUUGAUGGCGGUUCCACCAGGCCUAAUCGCCACACACCAGCAAAGGCAGUUUAUACUAUAGUACAAGCCACUAGCCUGCCUCUUAGAACAUCUCAUUUCCUUUCCAUCAUGGGAAUCUAUCCUCAAGGAAAUAACUUCUCAGUGUUCCAUCUGCUAUUCUACUACUCCUCAGGGAUUAUUCAGGCCUCCUCCCUUCCCUACACAUCAAGCUCAAGGAUUUGCCCCACCCAGGACUGGCAAAUUAGCUUUACUCAACAUGCCCUGAGACCGAUAACUAAAAAAACCUCUUAGUCUAGGUAGAUACUUUCACUGGAUAGGUAGAGGCCUUUCCUACAGGUCUGAGAAGGCCCCCGCAGUCAUUUCUUCCAUUCUGUCAGACAUAAUUCCUCAGUUUAGCCUUCCCACCUCAAUACAGUCUGAUAACAGACGAGCCUUUAUUAGUCAAAUCAGCCAAGCAGUUUUUCAGGCUCUUAGUAUUCAGUGAAACCUUUAUAUCCCUUAUGGUCCUCCGUCUUCAAGAAAAGUAGAAUGGACUAAAGGUCUUUUAAAAACACACCUCACCAAGCUCAGCCACCAACUUAAAAAGGACUGGACAAUACUUUUACCACUUUCCCUUCUCAGAAUUCAGGCCUGUCCUCGGAAUGCUACAGGGUACAGCCCAUUUAAGCUCCUGUAUAGAUGCUCCUUUUUAUUAGGCCCCAGUCUCAUUCCAGACACCAGACCAACUUAGACUGUGCCCCAAAAAAACUUGUCAUCCCUACUAUCUUCUGUCUAGUCAUACUCCUAUUCACCAUUCUCAACGACUCAUACAUGCCUUGCUCUGGUUUACACUGCCGGUUUACACUGUUUUUCCAAGCCAUCACAGCUGAUAUCUCCUGGUGCUAUCCCCAAACUGUCACUUUUAACUCUUGAAGUAAAUAAAUAAUCUUUGCUGGCAGGACUAUGCCGAAUCUCCUUAAGCACUCUCUAAUCAGAUAUCCUGAGUCGUCCCAAUUCUCAGACCUUUUAUACCUGUUUUUCUCCUUCUGUUAUUCCAUUUAGUUUCUCAAUUCAUCCAAAACCGUAUCUAGGCCAUCACCAAUCACUCUAUAUGACAAAUGUUUCUUCUAACAUCCCCACAAUAUCACCCCUUACCACAAGACCUCCCUUCAGCUUAAUCUCUCCCACUCUAGGUUCCCACGCCGCCCCUAAUCCCGCUUGAAGCAGCCCUGAGAAACAUCGUCCAUUCUCUCUCCAUAUCACCCCCCAAAAAUUUUCGCUGCCCCAACACUUCAACACUUUUUUGUUUUAUUUUUCUUAUUAAUAUAAGAAGGCAGGAAUGUCAGGCCUCUGAGCCCGAGCCAAGCCAUCACGUCCCCUGUGACUUGCACAUAUACGCCCAGGUGGCCUAAAGUAACUGAAGAAUCACAAAAGAAGUGAAAAUGCCCUGCCCCACCUUAACUGAUGACAUUCCACCACAAAAGAAGUGUAAAUGGCUGGUCCUUGCCUUAAGUGAUGACAUUACCUUGUGAAAGUCCUUUUCCUGGCUCAUCCUGGUUCAAAAAGCACCCCCACUGAGCACCUUGCAACCCCCACUCCUGCCUGCCAGAGAACAACCCCCCUUUGACUGUAAUUUUCCUUUACCUACCCAAAUCCUAUAAAACGGCCCCACCCCUAUCUCCCUUUGCUGACUCUCUUUUCGGACUCAGCCCACCUGCACCCAGGUGAUUAAAAGCUUUAUUGCUCACACAAAGCCUGUUUGGUGGUCUCUUCACAGGGACACGCAUGAAAAAAAUGUGCUGGGAACAGGAGAUACCAGGUAGUUCUGCCCUCAGGGCCCACUCAUGGCAGGUAGUGGUAAGCCAAGCAUUCUGGACCUUGGGCCACCAGGUGGCAUAUGCAAGCACAGUUUUAGUGAGUGCAGGUGGGCAAAUUCUUGAGACUCCAGGCAGUCUUCCUGUAUGCUGGCAGUGGGAGUGGUAAGCCAGAUCCGUGGGUGAGUCCUUAGGCCCUUAAGCCGAAUGUAUGGCCUGGAUUAUGGUAGUAGUGAUGGCAGGAUAAUUUUGGGGCUCUCAUGUGGCACUCACUAAUGUUAGCUGUUGGUAUGAUGGGCUGAGCAAGCUGGUCCCCAGGUUCCUUGGUUGUGCAUGUGCAUGGAUGUAGUUGAUGGUAUUGAUGACAGGCUAUAUGGGCUCACCUUCAGGAUUCCAGAAGUAGGGUACAGAUGCUAGAGGUGGUAGAAGGGGUUGGGUAAUCCCCAGGUCCCUGGGAGGGGUGCUCAUGCUUUGGGUGGGGGAAGCAAUGGUGACAGGUCUGGUGGGCCUGAUCUCAGGGCAUCAGGGUGUGCAGAGCUCCAGGAGGUAGUAGGCAGGGCAGGCAGUCUGUGGUGUUGGUUGUGGAGAGCCUGACCUCUGGGCUGGUGCUAGAGUGUGGUGAUCCUGCUGUUGAGUAUGGGUGGGGUUGCUAUCAGUGGUCCCCUGCAGGGAGCUCUCAGUUUCUGGGUAGUGUUUGCUUUGUCUCCUGGCUGCAGUCAGUGACUGCUAUCAUGUUCAAAGGGGUCAGAUGGAUCCUGCCUUUCUGGGUGUGAACUCAAGCACAGAGGCUGUGUUGUUGGUGGGAAUGGGGUUACUAUUUGCAUCCUCAGACAGGCAGCUGUCAGGCUCACUCACUUUGGCUCCCCGUGGCAGCAGCACUAUUGUGAUAUGCAGAAAGGGGAAGGGAUCCAUUUUCACAUGAGCCCAAGUACUGAGAACAUACUGCUAAUAGGGAUGUGGUUACUGUUUACAUACCCAGACUCUCAGAUUUAAGGUUUGCUUGCUUUGGCUUUCAGAGGCAGCAGUGGCUGCAGCAGUGUGGAGAGUUGGGGAAGGGAUCUUGACCUCUGUGCAUAAGCUAGAGCACAAAGGCCAUGCUGCUAGUUAGGGCAGGGUGGUUCCCUGCCCUAAUGGUACCAGGUACCAUUGGUAUCAUUAUACCAGGCAGGGAGCUCUUGGGUUCUGCCAAGCACAUGCACUGGUUCCCUUUGUCUCAGGAGAAGCCUCCUUGAUGUACUGCGCUAUCAUUUCCUUGAGGAGUUGUACUCCCUGUGGGUUAGAGUGCUGGGGACCCCACAACACCAUCGGGUCCAGCCACCAUUGUGCCACUGAAGCCCUCCAGGUGGAUGCCAGGGAAUUCUACUGGGGGUUCACAGGGUGUGAAGAUGUGGAAUUGUUGGUUCUCAGAAGAGGAUGCAGUCUGGUGGAAGCUGGACUCUGGCCAUAGUGCCCUACUGCAGCUGCUUAUGUCUUGCUAUGUGAUGUGGUGCAAGUUUCCCGCUUGCAGCAAUGCCCUGGCAGGCCUCUAGAUCACCACGCUGUAGAGUCCCCACCUAUGCUAAUCUCAGAGCUGUAUAGAUGGAAGAGGUCUCCUGUGGUUAGGAUUGCAGUAGUCUAAGGGAGAUCACACAUAAAGAAACUCUCCUUUCCUUCCAACUGGUGGGGUUCCUCAUGUGAUGGAUGUCUCCAAUUCCAAGCAAUAUUACAGCUAGCAGUUCAGUACCUCUCUGCUCAGCAGUGAAGGAAAUCUAAUGGAAACUUAGAAAAAGAAUGAAAACUCUAUCCCUAGUUUUCUAAGGAACACAUAUGGCACAGAGACAGGACUGGCAGCAAACAAAGAUAAAUGAAGAGUCACCCUCAGUGAAAUCCUGACUGCUGCUUUAAGUUCUCUACCACAUUUUGGAUUUUAGUGUUAGGAUUAUUUCUGAAGGAGUCUUCUGAACCUCAUGUUACUUACAGGAAAAACAAUAGAAUUUGAUUUACAUAAAUGUCCUUCUCAAACCCUUUGAUCAAUGGUGCUCAAGUUCCAUUUUAUCUGUAUACCCAUAGUUAUUCAAUUGUUUAACUCAUUUUCUGAGCAACCAAGUUCUCAGUGCAGAGAACUCAAUUAUGUUGUUUGCUUUUCUGAUCCACCAUCUUCUGUGUGCACUCAUGAUAGGAUGAACAUGGGAUGAAAUCAUAUUUGUAAUGAAUUAUAGAAUGAUCCCUGAAGGUAGAGUACUUGUAAUUAUAUUUAUAUAUCUUUUGUGGUUCAUAUCUCAUAAGCGAUAGAUCCAUGCUUAUCAUGUUAAUCGUGUUAUUCAUUGGAUUUAGGAUCUGACUUGCCUCCACCGGAGACUGCUUCCAAGUCUGAUUUUUGCAAGUCACUGAACAUUUCUUCCUGGUCGUAAAAUAUUCAUUAUUUCAACUAAUAGUAAUAUGGUUUUCUUUCUAAUGUAUUCAUAGCCCAUAGCUUUUUGAGCUCUAGACAGACUGAUUUGAACCUUUUAAGCAAUAAAUGAGAAGAAUCAUUUUUUGAAAUAGAUAAUAUUAUUUUAUUUAGAAUAACAACAUGCCACUUGGGGAGAUAUUUUUUGUAUAUCUAAUUGCCACUUGGGGAGUUUUUUUUUUGUAUAUCUAAAAGUUCUCACCAGAAUAUACUUUAUACAGAACUAUUGCAAACAAACUUGGAAUCAUAAAAUUUCGAGGCAUACUUUGUGGAAAUAUACCAUAAAUUGUGUAAAUAUCUGAGUAUAAAGUGGAGCUGUUUCGAGACUGACUGUAUUUAAGUAAUGGAGAUGCAUAUAAAACUUAGAUUUUAAAUAUUUUAUUAAUCUUGGCAUAGUGCAUCCUAAUUAGGCAGGAAAAGACCUGGAGGGAUGGAAAGGUAUUCCCACACCUUCUUCUCAUGCAUAUUGUCUUUAGUCAUUACUUACAAUUAUUAUUUUUUGUUUGGUGGUUUUUGGUUUCAAAGGGAUAAUUACUUAAAAGGAAAGAUACUGACUAAAAUAUUUGCUUUGUGUUAGUUUAAUUUAAUGAUCUAAUAUUUGUGUUAUUUUAUCCAUGAAAGCAAUACUUCUGCCUGCAAGUAUCUAAACCAGUCAUAUAUUUCUACCUCACCUUCUUUGGUAAACAGGCCUUCAUUAUUUUAUUCUUGAUCAGUUGAAAUUUAAACUGAAAUAAAAUACACUUAUUCAAAAUAUUUAAAUUAUAUAAAAACAAAAAUAUUUAGAAAGACUGAGAUCAUUUAUAGUAUCCUUAGUUUUUCUCUAGAGGGUUUAGCAGCAGGUUGCUUCUAAUUCGGACUUUAUGUAAUUAUAAAAUUCUGAAAAAAAUGUUAACUAGAAACUAUCUUGUGUUUAUGUUUAAUUACUUUAAUAAUAAUUGUUGUGCUUCAUUCAUUAUUGAGGAAAAAUUGUAAGCCUUCUUUCCUAGUUCUCACAUUAUUUUACCAACUACGGGGCAUUAUGGCAAUCAUACCCUACUGAGGUUGAGUAUUAAAAAAUAAAUAUUUAAAAUUAAAAUACAGCUUGUCACAUAGAAUGAGCACCUGAUGCCAUUUAUGAGGAACAGGUGGAUGUUUAUUCAGGCAUGUUUUAUGUACCAGCAGGAAUUAUUUCAAUUAAAUAUCAAUGUCACUGCCUUUAGAGAAGACUGAAACAAGAGCAAAGGAUACACAUACACACAGACACACACACAGGCAUGUAGGUGACACAGGAACUUAAGGUAUCUGAACUGAACCAGAUUUACAAAAAAGAUUGGUUCAAUUUGUCUAGAUUGCCUAAAGGAAGAGGUAGUUGCCUCUAAAAUAGAUCAAGAGAUUUUGAUCUUUGUUGUUGCAUUGAAAUGUGCGAUUCUGCAGGUGCUAUUAUUCUUUGAAACUUUCUUUGGGUGAAUUGAACAUAAUAUUCUUAGGUGGGUUGGGAAAUAAAAAUGACUAGGAAAAACAUGUGUCUUUGCAUUCAGUAUAUAGUGUCUUGAAUUAGCAAGUUAUCUAAGUUGUGUUAAUGGAGAAAAAUACGCAAGAUAAAUAUUUGGGUUAUCACAAAGGCAAAUAUUCCUAAUUAGUGAGAGUGAGGGAGGAGAAGGAGACAGAGAAAAAAUAUGAAUAACUUAUUCAAAUAUACUUCUAUUUUUAAAAUACUCCAAGAUAUUGUGAUCUGUAAAUGUGUAUAUAUGUUUUCACAUCAAUUAUUGCAACUUAAUAUGGGAAAAAUUAAGGCUUGUUUUAAUACCAAAAUACCACUCAACAACACAGUACAUGAGCAGCUGUUCACACUGAAUGAUGUAGAUAAUUAAUCUAAUUUUCCCUGUGCUUCAUUUUGUGUUCUAUUAGUUUUCUUAUUCAAACUUUCAAGUCACAAAUCUGAUUUAAAACCUCUUAACUGGUCUAAUGCAUAAUGUGUUCUCUCUGCAUUCAGUGUCUAGCAGUAAGCCGCAAAGCUGGAAUACUAAUUUGUUUUGGAAUGUGAAAAACACUCAAUAAUCAAAUAAUAAAAUCCUGGAUCCACCAUUUCUUAAUGACACGACCAAAUGAGUCCAAUGCCUUGAAAUGUGAGCAUAAGUUAAAAAAUAGAACAAAGAAGAAUAUAACAAUGUGAAUGAAGAAAGGAGAACCAUGCUAACAAGAACACCAUAUUCAAUAUAUUUGGUCUCUAUUCAAAAUGGUCCCAAUUCAGAAUACAAGAUUUUUAAAUGAGCAAGACAAAUUUUGAUUAACAAUAUUAAUGUUGCUAUUUUAAUAUUUGCUACUCUCUAUCUUCUCUCUCUUUUCCUAUUUCUCUCUUCUUCUGUCAACACACUCAUGAUUAUCUGAAUUUACAUUUAAUAUUCGAAAAUUAUUUUCUGUAGUCUCUUUGAAAAAGUCUGUAUUGAUUUUUCAAAACAAAAGAGCUUUGUUCCCUUUUCUUUUCUUGCAAUGUUUGUACCUCCUUUGGCAAAAUAAAGUUUAUUUCCAUACUUUCUCUUGAAUUCAAGUAAAUAAAAAAACACACACACACAUUUCCUAAAAUGAAGAAAUAGGUUAUGUCAGAAAAAUUAACCAUGUACUGAGUGAUUAAACUAUUUUGUGUAGAAAUGUCAUUUCUAUUUUGUUUAAAUGUAAUGCAAUUUACCAGACCAUAAAGAACUCCUUAGAUGAAAUGGCUGUUUUCCAGGCAAUGCUACUCUGCUGCUGAUUGCAAUAUAUUCUGACAUCUAUGACAGUUUUAUAAUUCUUCUAUUCUGUGCUCUGAAGUGUCCCUACUUUGCUGAAGGUUUUCUCCUGGGAAAAGGCACUACAGUUUUGUGGACUGAAAGGACAAUAAACAGUUUGAUGG